Molecule: ribosomal RNA, 454 nt
Filed under: uncultured bacterium
Lineage: Bacteria
Description: partial 16S ribosomal RNA
Rfam family: Bacterial small subunit ribosomal RNA
Source: RNAcentral
GAUGAACGCUGACAGAAUGCUUAACACAUGCAAGUCUACUUGAACUUCGGUUUGGGUGGCGGACGGGUGAGUAACGCGUAAAGAACUUGCCUCACAGAUAGGGACAACAUUUGGUAACGAAUGCUAAUACCUGAUAUUAUGAUUUUAGGGCAUCCUAGAAUUAUGAAAGCUAUAUGCACUGUGAGAGAGCUUUGCGUCCCAUUAGCUAGUUGGAGAGGUAACGGCUCACCAAGGCGAUGAUGGGUAGCCGGCCUGAGAGGGUGAUCGGCCACAAGGGGACUGAGACACGGCCCUUACUCCUACGGGAGGCAGCAGUGGGGAAUAUUGGACAAUGGACCAAGAGUCUGAUCCAGCAAUUCUGUGUGCACGAUGAAGUUUUUCGGAAUGUAAAGUGCUUUCAGUUGGGAAGAAAAAAAUGACGGUACCAACAGAAGAAGUGACGGCUAAAUACGUG